Carassius carassius (crucian carp) is the source of this 502-nucleotide long non-coding RNA. RefSeq lists it as uncharacterized. The transcript is spliced from 2 exons. Lineage: Eukaryota; Metazoa; Chordata; Actinopteri; Cypriniformes; Cyprinidae. The record is from RefSeq and is a predicted model, not a curated record.
UGCGCUUCAAUUCAAAUUAUGUAGCUAGGCAUGCACCUGCUUGUUAGUCAUUAGGGGAUUGAUUAGAAAUACCUUAAAUUGCAGUUUCGCUUCAGCGACUGUUGUUUACACACUUCUCUGAUCAUCAUGAAAGCUAGCCUUAAAAGCAAGCGUUCCACGACACCCAGAACUUCCAUAUCAAGAACAAGAGGACACGCUGCGUUUAUGUACACAGUCCGACAACAGGUCAAUCAGACGGCAGUGGGGCGCGUUCACGAGUCCACGGGCGUAAGCAGAUAUUUGCUGCAGAGAGUGGGGUCAGAGGCCGCGCGCCUCUCGUGUUUCAGCCGCCACAGAGCCGUCACGCGCAGGGAGAUCCUGGAGGCCUGGGAUCAGCUGAGACGCCGCAGAAACUCCGCUGCACUGGCAGGCGCUUGAGUCUUUUUAACAGACGCUUUUAAUCGAUCUCUUUUAAUGUAUCUGUAAAUAUUUAACUGUUGAAAUAAAAGCCUUUUGUUUAAAA